GAGUUUGAUCUUGGCUCAGAUUGAACGCUGGCGGCAUGCCUUACACAUGCAAGUCGAACGGCAGCAUGAUCUAGCUUGCUAGAUUGAUGGCGAGUGGCGAACGGGUGAGUAAUACAUCGGAACGUGCCCUGUAGUGGGGGAUAACUAGUCGAAAGAUUAGCUAAUACCGCAUACGACCUGAGGGUGAAAGUGGGGGACCGCAAGGCCUCAUGCUAUAGGAGCGGCCGAUGUCUGAUUAGCUAGUUGGUGGGGUAAAGGGCCCACCAAGGCGACGAUCAGUAGCUGGUCUGAGAGGACGAUCAGCCACACUGGGACUGAGACACGGCCCAGACUCCUACGGGAGGCAGCAGUGGGGAAUUUUGGACAAUGGGCGAAAGCCUGAUCCAGCAAUGCCGCGUGUGUGAGAAGGCCUC
This 413-nucleotide ribosomal RNA is filed under the name uncultured microorganism. RNAcentral's name for it is "bacterial SSU rRNA". It matches the Rfam family "Bacterial small subunit ribosomal RNA", at positions 9 to 418 of the family's 1533-position model. The record is from RNAcentral.